GACGAACGCUGGCGGCGUGCUUAACACAUGCAAGUCGAACGGAAAGGCCCUGCUUUUGUGGGGUGCUCGAGUGGCGAACGGGUGAGUAACACGUGAGUAACCUGCCCUUGACUUUGGGAUAACUUCAGGAAACUGGGGCUAAUACCGGAUAGGAGCUCCUGCUGCAUGGUGGGGGUUGGAAAGUUUCGGCGGUUGGGGAUGGACUCGCGGCUUAUCAGCUUGUUGGUGGGGUAGUGGCUUACCAAGGCUUUGACGGGUAGCCGGCCUGAGAGGGUGACCGGACACAUUGGGACGGAGAUACGGCACAGACUCCUACGGGAGGCAGCAGUGGGGAAUAUUGCACAAUGGGCGGAAGCCUGAUGCAGCAACGCCGCGUGCGGGAUGACGGCCUUCGGGUUGUAAACCGCUUUCGCCUGUGACGAAGCGUGAGUGACGGUAAUGGAUAAAGAAGCACCGGCUAACUACGUG
RNAcentral lists this ribosomal RNA (468 nucleotides) under uncultured bacterium. RNAcentral's name for it is "partial 16S ribosomal RNA". It matches the Rfam family "Bacterial small subunit ribosomal RNA", at positions 28 to 507 of the family's 1533-position model. The record is from RNAcentral.